CUCAAGACACACGCUCCCGGCAAUGGGUUUCACCGACUCCGUCCGAAGCAGUGGCUGGAUCUGGAGAGAGGGCGACAGACAGAGACAGAGGAUAAGGACAUGCCAUUGACUGAAUAUUGGGAAACAGUUAUGUUUGGAACCACAGCUACCCCUUGGACCCCCCCAGUUAGCAGAGCUCCCGUCGUCCCUGAAAUCUUAAAAAGCUGAGCAGGCAUGAAGGAGGAAGUGCCAUCGUAGGAAGGCAAAUUUACUGACAAGGGCAUCGGAGGGCUCAGAGCCCAUUUGCAGAGGAAGAGACGGAAUCUGAUUGCGGACUCCGUGAAUCUGCUGAUGACGCGGCCAGCGGACGGUGGGCCGUUGAAGGCACGCAUGCUUCCUAUAUCUGGAUCCUGCAAGCACUCACUCAGUGUCCGCCAGACAUUGCACGGAAGACCCAGAGGACACGGAUCUACGUCCCUGGCAUUGGGAGCUUACAGUCAAGUGUGGAGAGAGAUGAGCCCGUGGACAAGUAGCUUCGGGCACCCUGGGUGCCGUGGGAACAGGGGAACGCACGGCGGCGCGGAGCCUCGCUGCAACUCCCGGCGGGGCCUGUGCGGAGUUGCUUCCCCAAGGAGGCCGGGCUGGAGCAGAGCUGGGACGGGCGCGGCAGUUAGCCAGGGGACCCGGAGGGAAAGCCCGGCAGUGGUAACGACGCACAGCUCUGUGCACACUACCGGCGGGACAGGUGUCCAGAAUUUGGGGAAGAGUGAAGCAAUCUAAUUUGCUAAAAA
Molecule: long non-coding RNA, 770 nt
Organism: Hyaena hyaena (striped hyena)
Lineage: Eukaryota; Metazoa; Chordata; Mammalia; Carnivora; Hyaenidae
Exons: 3
Source: RefSeq, a predicted model, not a curated record